UUUCUGAGCAGCUGUAUGGGAGAGGUACAAGGGGUGGGGGACUGACGGUAUAAAAGAGAAAUCUGCCCUCCCCCUCCACUGGUGGCCAUCGCUGGAGACCAAUACCAGCUUCCCCAUCCUGGAGAAAGUCUAGAAGUCAAGCAGGGGUGGUGGGGCAUGAGGCUGAAGAGGUUAUGGCGGGAAAGAUCACAGAGCGCUUCAAAUGCCAGUGUCUGGAGGUUGGACUCUGUCCUGAGGGUAAGGAGAUUCCCAUUUUCCAGACAAGGAAACUGAGACCCAAAGAGUAACUUGCCCAGGGUCACCUCCAACAUGCAGACCCCUGCCAUGAUGUCUCUGCUGCUCGUGUCCAUGGGCCUCAUGGAAGCACUUCAGGCCCAGAGCCACCCCAUCACACGACGGGACCUCUUCUCUCGAGAAAUGCCCCUGGACAUGGCCCUGGCCUCCUUUGAUGACCAGUAUGCUGGCUGUGCCACAGCCAUGGCGGCGGCUCUCCCAGAUCUCAACCGCACGGAGUUCCAGGCCAACAAAGUGUACGCCGAUGUCUGGGCUCAAGCAAGCAGCCAGUGGCAGGAGCGCCAGGCCUGGGGGCCCAAGUGGGGCCUCAGCCCUACCCGUCUGGCCCCGCCCGCGGGCUUCCGAGAAGAGCACGGGGUGGCCCUCCUGGCCUACACGGCUAACAGCCCCCUGCACAAAGAAUUCAACGCGGCCGUGCGCGAGGCUGGCCGCUCCCGGGCCCACUACCUCCACCACUUCUCCUUCAAGACACUCCACUUCCUGCUGACCGAGGCCCUGCAGCUGCUGGGCAGGGGCCAGCGUCCACCCCAGUGCCGCCAGGUGUUCCGAGGGGUGCAGGGCCUGCACUUCCGGCCAGCGGCGCCCGGGGCCACUGUCAGGCUGGGGGGCUUUGCCUCUGCAUCCCUGCAGAAUGCUGCAGCCCAGCAGUUUGGGGAAGACACCUUCUUUGGCAUCUGGACCUGUCUCGGGGCCCCUAUCAAGGGCUACUCCUUUUUCCCUGGGGAGGAGGAGGUGCUGAUCCCUCCCUUCGAGACCUUCCAGGUGAUCAAUGCCAGCAGACCGGCCCAGGGCCCUGCCCGCAUCUACCUCCGGGCCCUGGGCCAGCGCAGCACAUACAACUGCGAGUACAUCAAAGACAAGCAGUGCAAGUCAAGGCCCUGCCAUCUGGAUAACUCAGCCAUGGGUCAGGGCCCCCUUUCUGCAGUCUGCUCCCUUCUACUGCUGCUCUGGUUCCUUGUUGGAGAAGCCUUUCCAGAGAGUCCAGGACUCCUCUAAUCCAUCAGCCACUGAACAGCUCUGCCAUCACCUCUGCCCAACAUGAGGAUGUCAGCCACAUAGCACUCUGUGCCCGCAUCCUGUCAGUCAUACUGCUGAAUGCUCUUGAAUGCUUCAUCACCUCUCCGGCUCGGGCCCAUCCUUCCUGCAUAUGGACCCCGGCAGCAGCCGCCUCCUCCCUGCUCUUCCAACUCGGGCUCACCUCUCUAACCACCUGCCACACUUCCGAGAGAUCAAGCUUUUAAACAAAUGAAUCUGACUAGACCAGUAGCUGCUUAAACCUGUUCAGUGGCUCCCCAGGCCUGCUAGAUAAAGCCCAAACUCAUCCUUCGCGGUCUGGUCCCCCUGGCUUUUCCAGCCCUACCCCUGGGAGCUGCCCUGUCAACUGCUCCCGCCCCAGUCAGGCAAGCCCCCUCUUGCCCUCUUCAGCUCCCCCUCCUCCACACUCCCCAGAUAGCGCUUGCUCCCAGCACAGAAGUGAAGAGAGAGCACGUGGAGAGAGGUUUGGGGAGGAUGGGAACAGCAGCAACGCCCAGAGAGGCCAGGGCUGGUUUAUUGAGCUUCAUACCUGGCAGUAGUGGAAGCAGGAGGAGAAGGCCCAGGGUGGAGACAGAGAAGCUGAGGCCGAGGCGGUGGCUCCCGGGCCCCAUGGCCUUGCCGCAGCCAGAGGAAGGGCAGGUCUCUGGGGGUGAGCCUCCUGGCCUGACCUACGGCAACAUCAGGCCCUGCUGGCAAGGAUGGUGUGGACAAUCCCUGCACGUCAGAAGGAAGACUGGGAUCUCUGCUGAGUCCAGCUACCCUGCAGGGAGUCCUGCAGCCCUUCCAGUUACCUGACACUGCUAUUUGUACCUGCCCUGGGAUUUUAGUACUUGGGCCUUGGCAUCUACUGUUUCUCCUUCUCUGCUGGUCUUUGCCUCUUCUGGCCGCUGCCUCUGCCCUGUUCUUCACCCCCCACCCCCUUUACCUCUCACUCAGACUCUCUGUCUCGAUUUCCUUCUAUCCGUCCCUCUGUAACCCUUUCUUGGUCUCUGCCUCCCUGACUCUGGUCUUCCUCUUUCCACUCUCUCUUCCUUUCUCCUGCCUCUAUUUCAGCCCCCUUGACUUCCUCAAGGCCUUCCCCACACCUGAUUCUGGGGGAGCCUGGCGCAUUCUCAGCAGGACAGGGACAGGGACUCCAUCAGCCCUGAACCUUCUGAGGCACAGGACAGCAGGCCACGCCCCCUUUACCUUUCAUUAGCUUAUAGAGUUGGGACACCUGUGUCCAUGGGAACAGAGCAACUGAAACUGACACCUCAGGUCACUGGGACCUGAAUUAUUCAAAUUCUGUAAGGUAGCACCCUCACUCAAGUCAGGCCCAGCUUGGGGGAUUGGAGGGUACAGAGAUGCCAGGUCAGGAUCUGCAAGAGACUGGGGCUUAAAGGUGUGAGGGGACAGGGCCAGUGGAUGGAAACUGUCCUCCCAGCUCUGCCAUCAUUACUGAAUUCUUGAGGCUCCCUUUCGUCUGUCAGCUGUGCCCUCAGUUAGGGACUGAACACAUCUGUCUAGGCUGGUGCUUUGUGCCAAGCAAGCUCUCCCCGGUGAGAGGGGUGCCAAGCCUCAGGCUGCUCCAGGUGGCCCCACAAAGCAGGGGAUGCAGCCCGCAUCCUCGCCAUCCCACAGCCAUCCCAGUCUGAGCCUCAGUAUUCUCCCUAUGCUUAAACAUCACAGGCGGUAUUGGGCUGCAGGGAAAACACAGCCUUUAUUUAUUUA
Kogia breviceps (pygmy sperm whale) is the source of this 3039-nucleotide non-coding RNA. Lineage: Eukaryota; Metazoa; Chordata; Mammalia; Artiodactyla; Physeteridae. The record is from RefSeq and is a predicted model, not a curated record.